AGAGUUUGAUCCUGGCUCAGGAUGAACGCUGGUCGGCGUGCUUAACACAUGCAAGUCGAACGUGAGGGUGCAGCGAUGUGCCUGAAAGUGGCGAACGGGUGAGUAACACGUAGAUGACCUGCCCUGGAGUGGGGGAUAACCAUUGGAAACGGUGGCUAAUACCGCAUACAUCCGGAGAACUGGGAAGUUUUCUGGGGAAAGCUCUGGUGCUUCAGGAGGGGUCUGCGUCCGAUUAGCUAGUUGGUGGGUAAAGGCUCACCAAGGCGACGAUCGGUAGCUGGUCUGAGAGGACGAUCAGCCACACGGGAACUGAGACACGGUCCCGACUCCUACGGGGGGCAGCAGUGAGGAAUAUUGGGCAAUGGGCGGAAGCCUGACCCAGCAACGCCGCGUGGAGGAAGACGGCCUUCGGGUUGUAAACUCCUUUUGACGGGGAAGAGAGAGGACGGUACCCGUCGAAUAAGUCACGGCUAACUACGUG
This 481-nucleotide ribosomal RNA is filed under the name uncultured bacterium. RNAcentral describes it as "bacterial SSU rRNA". It matches the Rfam family "Bacterial small subunit ribosomal RNA", at positions 8 to 507 of the family's 1533-position model. The record is from RNAcentral.